CGUACGGGGAAGGAUGAGAAGCUUCGAAUAAGGUUCGAUUCGAGCGAAAGCGAGAAAGCGUUGCCGCAGGCAACGACCCGAAGGGCGAAGCGCGCAGCGCUGAGUAAUCCUUCCCCCACCACCA
Molecule: small RNA, 124 nt
Filed under: Salmonella enterica
Lineage: Bacteria; Pseudomonadati; Pseudomonadota; Gammaproteobacteria; Enterobacterales; Enterobacteriaceae
Description: partial RtT sRNA
Rfam family: RtT RNA
About the family: This family represents a bacterial cis-regulatory element known as RtT RNA. The exact function of RtT is unknown although it is thought that it may be involved in changing the cellular response in relation to amino acid starvation.
Source: RNAcentral